Molecule: long non-coding RNA, 5219 nt
Filed under: Drosophila guanche
Lineage: Eukaryota; Metazoa; Arthropoda; Insecta; Diptera; Drosophilidae
Source: RNAcentral
GUUUCUUUGAGCUGUGAAUGUAAGUACAUGUGUACGUACAUAUGACAUUUGUACAUUUACGAAAAUCUAUUAUCAGUGGCAUCUCCGGACACACAGGCAAUCUUUUGUGUGUAAAGAACCCUUGAAAUUUCGCUUAUCUCUUGGUCUUUUGUUUCUGCUGACUUCACUCACGAUUGUUAAUUUGUUUGCGGUUUCUCCGACUGCGACACCCAUCUGCAGGACACCGUACCCCGCUGUCGAACCCUGUCAAGGCAGCCCGCAUAGUCGAACCUCCAGCCUCGCUUCUCAACUUUUGAUGCAAGAACAUUGUGAAGGCAUAAACGAAAACGUGGCCCACAGCAUAGAGCAUCGCAUUCCCUCCCUCCACUCCCACAUUGUUAUAACUACGCGUAACUUUCGACAAGUGUCGCCUGAAAAUCGCCAAGCGUUCUCAUGUAAAGAGAGCCCUCGACCGAGUCCCGGCCCCCAACAGGAGCGGUUCAAAGUGCUCUACCAGUGCCGUUGGAGACGAACGAAUCCGCUCUUGAUGGCCCGCUGCCAGCUGUGGUUUAAUCUUCUUUUAAGUUGCGCCCCCCACCGUCCAAGUGGGGAAACCCUAGAAAAAGGAGGGCGACACCGUAAAGCAAAAAGUUUGCCGCCACUUGUGGGUUGAUAACAUAGAACAAAGCAAAGUUGGGGGCUAGCUCGACUAGGGUCGGGUCUACUAGCGCAGUGACUGUGGCUGGGCUACUGCCAGUCCUUAGUCCUGAGCACAGCUUGAAAAUAGUUGGAGUUUGUAAAAAGUCAUUGUAACAUUUCUGAAAAGAAGACUUUGCCGUACUCUGCUCUCCCUUCUGCACUCUAAUUAGUCGUCCCUGGCUUGUGAUUUGUGGGCGGACUGUGGGCAGUUGCGGAAUUGAAGGACCGACAUCCGAUCACCUGAAGAGGGGCUGGACUGCUGGUGCUGCCACAACUUUUCCCGCCACAAAUUCAACUUGUAAUAUUGUGCUGAUUUUUUUUUUUCACAGUCCGGAAAAUUCCAUAUAAAAUACACUGAGAAAUGGCGGCCAAAAGUAGUGGUUGCCAGGGAAUAGAAUUUGACAUUACUCUCGGUAUUUCGCUCAGUGUGGAAACAGCUUGGGCACGAUAAAUCUUGAACCGCAUCUGGCCAAGUCUCGGACUCCGGCUCGGACUCCAACUCGGACUUGGUUUCUCUCUCAUUAGUGGAGCCAAUUAUACAUAUACAGUUCAUACAUGUCUCGAUUAUUUCAGCCCGCAAGCGUUAUAGAAGGCCGCAAAUAAUUUAAAGCCAAAUGAGCCUGCCACAUUUUAUGUUGACCACAUUAACCAUUUUUGGCAGAGCGAGAGAGAGGGGAGAGGCCAAAAGGCCGACAAAGUAUUUAAUUAAAUUAAGCAUAAAGGAAAACACCGGACAGCGAGUGCUGAGCCCGGGAGACUUCUGCUACGGAUGAAGUUGGCUUCUGUUUUUAUGGUUUGGCCUUUAAAGCAGUCAUAAAUCAUUUAAGAAAAUGGCCAAUCGUGGGGAGAAGUCUGUGGCUCAGAGCGAGAAACGCACAGAUAUUUCCGCUAAUGGCCAGUGGUUGCUCAUUGUCCGAGGCCGAUCACGCCCGCCGCCCAGCCACUCGAAACGCAUUAAAAUAGACUAAAAUAUUCGGUGUCCCUACUGGACUGCGUUUAUGGCCACUUAAUGUAAAACAGUUAAUUAGCGGCUCACACAUAUACAAACAUACACACCCAUAUAUCGUGGUAGCGGUGGGCAGACAAAAGCAAGAGAAAUGUCCAACCUUAAUGCAAAAUGGCAGCCAUCAUUUUCGCUUUUCUUUCCUUCCUAUUCUUUAACAGCUUCUACUGCUUUUCCUCUGCCGCUGCUGCUGACGUUUGCCAUCUUCACUACGCCAGGAACACAGUAGGGAGGUAUGCGGGGUGUCCAGUGUGAGAGGCGGAAAAUUACUUUUAUUAAUAAAGCGCAAUGAGGCGUGCAAAAAAAAAAAUAAAUUAACAUUAUACAAAAAACGAGAAGGUACGUUUGAGACGCUUCUUCCGCGUCACAACUUUUAUACCCGGUACUCAGUAGGACAUCCGUACCUUAGUGUUUUUUUCCAAAUUUUAAAUUUGAUCUACAUAUGUCAUCUACAUCUACAUCACUUCUCACGCCAACACGCCCUUUUAGCUCGCUCCCCCAACCAUAGAGCCACACACUACACGAAGCAGAGUGUGAAUGAGAGAAUAUGCAAAAAACCAAAACAAAAUGCUGGAUGGGGUGGGUGUUAAUUAAUUAAUAAAAAAUUAAUCUCUUCACUAUGGCUGUAAUAAUUAUCCAAUCGAAUCCCAAUUCGAUGAUCUUAUAGAUAUAGUCUUUUCCAACGGAAUAGCGCUUCUAGUUUUCUUCUAUCUUCAAAAUUUUAGCUGUGGGAUAUUUUCGCUCUUCGGGCCGGGGCUAAUUGUCGAAAUACACUUGUAACAGUGUGAGCACACAGCCAUCUGGAUGCAAAAUUUUGAGGCUCUAGCUUAUAUAGUCUUUGAGAUCCAGGCGCUCAACAAGACGGAUGAACAGACAGACAGACGGACGGACAGACAGACAUGGCUCUAUCGACUCGUCUAUUCAUGCUGAUCAAGAAUAUAUAUACUUUAUGGGGUCGGAAACGUUUCCUUCUGUGCGUAAAAACAUCCGUUAUUCCCCACAAAUGCAGUAUACCCUAUUUACUCAUCGAGUACCGGGUAUAAAAAGGAGAUGGAAAAAGUAAAACGCAAAAAAUGAGAAUGGCGAAAAUUAACAUACAGAAUGACUUUUGACAUGCCUCGGACAUUAUUGUGUCGAACACCUUCGCCUGCAGUUUAUUAUUAAUACUGAUGCAGUGUGGACACUUGGGAGGGAUUGCAACUUUUCUUUUGUCAACUUUUCGGCACCCUGUCCCUGUCCCACUUGUAAUUACGAUGAUGGCCAUCGAACGCGCCGGAACGUGACACAAAGGAAACGAGGUGCUGUAAUAUUUAAAGUUUGCCUUGCUGUUUGUCUCGUCGAAAAUGCACACCUGGCAUUUUUAUAAUUAUUAGCUCAGUAUCGACAUUUAAAUGGGUCCAUCACUGCCGUCCGUAAAUUCAGCCCAAUGCAGAACAUAUUGGCAGCUGGCAACUUUUGACUAAAUUGCCAAAGUAUAUUUUAAGUAAUAAUCAUUAACCGCGACUUCAUUUGCAUAUUCAAGACGGCAGGCACCGUCAGUCGCCCGACCCAACCACCAAGCCAUGACAGCGUACGCUUUGGUUAAGUGGGAGCGUAAUUUAAAUUAGGUUCGGGGCGGGCCUGCGGUCUAGCUUAUUAAUGAUGCUUUCAUUAAAUUUGAUCUCAGCUGGUCACAACGGUGGCUUGAUUUAAUUUCGCAAACCACGUCAGGAUAUCUUCAUGUUUUUUUUGUUUUUGAGGUUCUACCCUUGGGUGGAGAGGGAUUAUUUGGCCGCCCGCCUUUACAAGGUGGAAAUCGCCACGUCGAGAUAUGUAACUUGUUACAGUUUUACUCAAAUUUUGUCGAUGAACUCGAUUAAAGUUUGGUACGAGCUAAUUUGUUCUUUUUCGAAGAAUUUAUAGAUAUUAUUAUAUUUCCUUAGCGAUGGGUAGUUUAGUCUUAUUGUGUUGUACUUGGUACAAUUAAAAAUUAUAUGCGAUGCGUCAUCGAUAAUAUCGCAAGUAUCACAAAUGUUACUUGCGACUACGUGCAUUUUGGCAAGUGUGUGCCUAUCAAAUGCACUGCCGCUAAGCAGUCUAUUGAUCCUUUUAGCGUCAAUGGCUUUUAGCUGAUUUCUAUUUAGGAACCAUUGUUUUGUUGAGGUAGAGGGAAAAAGUGAGCAGUAUCCUCUGCGUUUAACGCUGGCAAACUCGGCAUACUCUCUCUCCCAUUCUUCCUUCAGUAUUCGGUGUAUCUCACAUAUUGCAUCUUUAAGAUUCCAUUUAACGACUGUAUAUUUUCCCAGUCUGUGUGCUUCUUUGGCUGCUGAGUCUACUGUCGUGUUCUGAGGGAUGUUGGCGUGGCCGGGUAUAAAAUGGAUUUCUACCUUCUUUAGGUAUUGGGCUUGACGGAUCUUCUCCCUGAUUUUAUAAGCGAUAAAAUUAUCCUGAAUGCUCCUUGCCAGUAUUAGAGCCCCGUUUCUGCUGUCCGUUAGGAUGGCUAUACGAGAAAACCCGCGGGAAAUAGCAUGGUCCAGGGCCUUUUCAAUUGCAAUCAACUCGGCGGACAAAGAUGACAAGGUUUUGUGCGUUUAAAAGCUGUCUAUGAAACCUGAGCUGUCGUGUAGGAAAGCUGCGCUAGAGUUUCUGUUAGCUACUGAUCCAUCAGUGUAGUAGGUCUCGAAGCCUUCCCUUGUCAGGAGUGCCCUUUUUUCCCUAUGGAGAACCAAUAUGCCUGGUCUAAGCUAUGGUUGUUCUCAGCAGCCCCCUUAAAAAAGUCUAAGUCUGACCUAAUUUUGGUGCAAUGCGAAGUUGUACUCUCAAAGACCUCGAUAUUCUCCAGAAUAUCACCGAACUCCCGAAAUGCCUUGGCGUAGCCUGUGUUUAUGUCCCUGUUUAGGGACACUGUCCUACUCGCUGGGAGGCUGUACGCAAAUGCCUUGGCUAACUCUCUUGCCGCUAGGAAUCUCAUUUUGUAUUCCGGGGGAAGUUCUCCUGCCAUGUGGUAAAUAAUCGGGAUUGGGGUGCAGAUGAAAAAGCCUAGUGACUUUCUAAGGUGGUGGUUACAAUGAGAUUUGAUUUUGGCUAGAGCGGAUUUGGACAAGUUGCUGAAAGACGAGCAAGCGUAUUCUAGUCUACUCCUGACAAAGGCCUUGUAAACUAUGAGCCCUCCCUUGGGCUGAUACCGUAAUGGCACCCACUGAGUAGUCUUAGGAACGCACAGGUUCUGUUUGACUCCGAAAUGGCUUGCUCGAUGUGCACUAAGGCUGAGUUGUUCGCUGAAAUUAUUCUGCCUAGAUAUUUUAUCUGAUCUACUUGCAUAAUCUCGACUCCUUGGUGCACAAUGUUCAGCUCGGUUCUUCGGAUGCUGAAGUGAACCACUUUGGAUUUGGCUGGGUUGAAAGCAAGGUUAAGCCUGUUGCAUCUUGCCUCAAAGCUGUCUAUUUUUUCUAGGAGCAUACGUUUGGCAAUGGAAAUCUCCUUGUGGAAGCAAAUAAUAAAGAAGUCGUCCGCAUACUGAAACAGUAGGCAAUUGCCAUCGUUUAUCUCGUGCAGUUCA